Molecule: ribosomal RNA, 451 nt
Filed under: uncultured bacterium
Lineage: Bacteria
Description: partial 16S ribosomal RNA
Rfam family: Bacterial small subunit ribosomal RNA
Source: RNAcentral
AACGAACGCUGGCGGCAGGCUUAACACAUGCAAGUCGAGCGGGCGCUUUCGGGCGUCAGCGGCGGACGGGUUAGUAACGCGUGGGAACGUGCCCUUUGCUCUGGAGUAGCCCUGGGAAACCGGGGGUAAUACCGGAUGUGCCCUGAGGGGGAAAGGUUUACCGGCAAGGGAUCAGCCCGCGUCUGAUUAGGUAGUUGGUGUGGUAACGGCGCACCAAGCCGACGAUCGGUAGCUGGUUUGAGAGGAUGAUCAGCAACACUGGGACUGAGACACGGCCCAGACUCCUACGGGAGGCAGCAGUGGGGAAUCUUAGACAAUGGGCGAAAGCCUGAUCUAGCCAUGCCGCGUGGGUGAUGAAGGCCUUAGGGUCGUAAAGCCCUUUCGCCGGGGAAGAUAAUGACGGUACCCGGUAAAGAAACCCCGGCUAACUCCGUGCCAGCAGCCGCAGUAA